GAUGAACGCUGGCGGCGUGCCUAAUACAUGCAAGUCGAGCGAACGGACGAGAAGCUUGCUUCUCUGAUGUUAGCGGCGGACGGGUGAGUAACACGUGGAUAACCUACCUAUAAGACUGGGAUAACUUCGGGAAACCGGAGCUAAUACCGGAUAAUAUUUUGAACCGCAUGGUUCAAAAGUGAAAGACGGUCUUGCUGUCACUUAUAGAUGGAUCCGCGCUGCAUUAGUUAGUUGGUAAGGUAACGGCUUACCAAGGCAACGAUGCAUAGCCGACCUGAGAGGGUGAUCGGCCACACUGGAACUGAGACACGGUCCAGACUCCUACGGGAGGCAGCAGUAGGGAACCUUCCGCGAUGGGCGAAAGCCUGACGGAGCAACGCCGCGUGAGUGAUGAAGGUCUUCGGAUCGUAAAACUCUGUUAUUAGGGAAGAACAUAUGUGUAAGUAACUGUGCACAUCUUGACGGUACCUAAUCAGAAAGCCACGGCUAACUACGUG
Molecule: ribosomal RNA, 497 nt
Filed under: uncultured bacterium
Lineage: Bacteria
Description: partial 16S ribosomal RNA
Rfam family: Bacterial small subunit ribosomal RNA
Source: RNAcentral